GACCAACGCUGGCGGUACGCUUAACACAUGCAAGUCGAACGGGUAGUAAUACCAGUGGCAAACGGGUGAGUAAUGCAUAGGAAUCUGCCCUUUAGUGGGGGAUAGCUCGGAGAAAUUCGAAUUAAUCCCGCAUAAUGUCGAGAGAUGAAGGCAGCAAUGCGCUAAGGGAUGAGCCUGUGUCCGAUUAGCUAGUUGGUGGGGUAAAGGCCUACCAAGGCAACGAUCGGUAGCUGGUCUGAGAGGAUGAUCAGCCACAGUGGAACUGAGACACGGUCCACACUCCUACGGGAGGCAUCAGUGAGGAAUUUUCCGCAAUGGGCGAAAGCCUGACGGAGCGAUACCGCGUGUAGGAAGAAGGCCUUCGGGUUGUAAACUACUGUCGAUGGGGAAGAAAAAAAUGACGGUACCCAUAAAGGAAGCACCGGCUAACUCUGUGCCAGCCGCCGCCGUAA
RNAcentral lists this ribosomal RNA (452 nucleotides) under uncultured bacterium. RNAcentral's name for it is "partial 16S ribosomal RNA". It matches the Rfam family "Bacterial small subunit ribosomal RNA", at positions 28 to 523 of the family's 1533-position model. The record is from RNAcentral.